UUUGCCCCCAAUGGGGCCUUCCAGGCAGCCCUGCCUGGAAGGCCCCAUUGGGAGGCAAUGGUUAGGGGUUAGGGUUAAGGUUAAGGUUAAGGUUAGGUGCCUUGAAGGAGCAGGUGGGGGCGAAAAACACCAUUGAACGUAAAAUAAUCCAGUCUU
This is a small nucleolar RNA of Perca flavescens (yellow perch), 156 nucleotides long. RefSeq annotates it as small nucleolar RNA SNORA17. Lineage: Eukaryota; Metazoa; Chordata; Actinopteri; Perciformes; Percidae. The transcript has a single exon. The record is from RefSeq and is a predicted model, not a curated record.